CCCUUAGAUGUUCUGGGCCGCACGCGUGCUACACUGAGUGGAUCAGCGGGUCAGGUUGCGCGAAAGUGUUUCCUAAUCUUUAAAUCCGCUCGUGAUGGGGAUUGACGGUUGCAAUUUUCCGUCAUGAACGAGGAAUACCUUGUAAGCGCGGGUCAUCAUCCCGCGCUGAAUACGUCCCUGCCCUUUGUACACACCGCCCGUCGCUCCUACCGAUUGAGUGGUCCGGUGAGGCUUUGGGAUCUGGGCGGAAAGAGCGUUUCGCUGUUUCUGCCCGGAAAACUCAGUCGAACCUUAUCAUUUAGAGGAGGGAGAAGUCGUAACA
This 322-nucleotide ribosomal RNA is filed under the name uncultured eukaryote. RNAcentral's name for it is "partial 18S ribosomal RNA". It matches the Rfam family "Eukaryotic small subunit ribosomal RNA", at positions 1470 to 1796 of the family's 1831-position model. The record is from RNAcentral.